Molecule: ribosomal RNA, 207 nt
Filed under: uncultured bacterium
Lineage: Bacteria
Description: partial 16S ribosomal RNA
Rfam family: Bacterial small subunit ribosomal RNA
Source: RNAcentral
CGCGUAGGCGGAUUAAUAAGUCAGGGGUGAAAUCCCGGGGCUCAACCUCGGAAUUGCCUUUGAUACUGUUAGUCUUGAGAUAGGAAGAGGUAAGUGGAAUUGCGAGUGUAGAGGUGAAAUUCGUAGAUAUUCGCAAGAACACCGGUGGCGAAGGCGACUUACUGGUCCUUAUCUGACGCUGAGGCGCGAAAGCGUGGGGAGCAAACA